Molecule: long non-coding RNA, 792 nt
Filed under: Trifolium pratense (red clover)
Lineage: Eukaryota; Viridiplantae; Streptophyta; Magnoliopsida; Fabales; Fabaceae
Description: long non-coding RNA (TPRA_LNC000949)
Source: RNAcentral
UUUAGUCAGAUUUCAUUGACCUUACGGUUGAACUCUAAAUUAUCAUGAAUUUCUUUCUUUGAAAAUCGGAUGAUUAAAAAAAAUGAACAUAUAAUAUAGAUAGGUAAUGUACAAAUAUCAAUAAAAAUGUGAGAAAAAGUAAAAGGAAACUAGUGUACAUGUAUGUGGUCCUUAAGCAAUUUAAUUACUACGAUCCAUGCCAAGUGAAACUAAUCAAUUGCUUGAGGCUGAAAAAAUAAACAAAUAAAUGUGGGAAGAAAUGUACAAAAUGUGAGGUCGAAGUACUAAUUAACAACCAUACAUGCCUCUCUAAGUUGUGCAUCAAACCUGAAUCUAGGGAUGACUACAUCAUCACAUCAUAUGAUACCCAUUCACUUUAAAUAGUUCUAUUGUCGAGCCAAGCUGGGUUGAAUAACUCAAUUACUUUGAGUUAAGAAUUACGAAGUUGGAUAAAUUAAAUUACCAUAGUUCGGACCCUGGUGAAGUAAAAAAUAUACUAACAUAACAACUAAUUACUAACAUUAAAAAACGAAGAAGCCGAGGUUAGGUGCGUCGAUUCAUCAAGGUGGGGAUAGGCUAAGAUGCAAAUCCAAACNNNNNNNNNNNNNNNNNNNUAACAUUAAAAAACGAAGAAGCCGAGGUUAGGUGCGUCGAUUCAUCAUGGUGGGGAUAGGCUAAGAUGCAAAUCCAAACCAAAUCCAUCAUCAAAGUUGGGCCCUACAUCUGCUUUAGAGAACCUACUCAAAGAUGGCCCAUCAAGUUUCCCAAACUGGGCCAGACUCUGUACUUGUG